GACGAACGCUGGCGGCGUGCUUAACACAUGCAAGUCGAACGAAGUGGCGAACGGGUGAGUAAUACGUGAGUAACCUGCCCUCCUUUUUGGGAUAAGCCUUGGAAACGGGGUCUAAUACCGAAUAAAGGGGGAUGGGCUCGCGGCCUAUCAGCUUGUUGGGGGGGUAAUGGCCGACAAAGGCGGCGACGGGUAGCCGGCCUGAGAGGGUGGACGGCCACAUUGGGACGGAGACACGGCACAGACUCGUACGGGAGGCAGCAGUGGUGAAUAUUGCACAAUGGGCGGAAGCCUGAUGCAGCGACGCCGCGUGGGGGAUGACGGCCGUCGGGUUGUAAACUCCUUUCACCAUCGACGCGGUAGAUGGAGAAGAAGCACCGGCUAACUACGUGCCAGCAGCCGCGGUAAUAC
Molecule: ribosomal RNA, 408 nt
Filed under: uncultured bacterium
Lineage: Bacteria
Description: partial 16S ribosomal RNA
Rfam family: Bacterial small subunit ribosomal RNA
Source: RNAcentral